RNAcentral lists this transfer RNA (85 nucleotides) under Felis catus (domestic cat). It matches the Rfam family "tRNA". From Rfam's summary of the family: Transfer RNA (tRNA) molecules are approximately 80 nucleotides in length. Their secondary structure includes four short double-helical elements and three loops (D, anti-codon, and T loops). The record is from Rfam by way of RNAcentral. Lineage: Eukaryota; Metazoa; Chordata; Mammalia; Carnivora; Felidae.
GCCUGGGUGGCUCAGUCAGUUCAGCAUCUGACUUCAGCUCAAGUAAUGCUCUCAUGGCUCGUGAGUUCGAGCCCCGCCUCAGGCU